GUAGUGACAUGGAGUACUAUUUCAGUCAACCUAAAACCCCUGUAACUACCAUGAAUUCCGACAUUUUGAGGUAUAUUAAGGAACAGAUCGUUGCCAUACGGACUGGAUACAAAGAAUUCACACAAGAGAUCCGUGAGCUCAGGCAAAAUUCUAGGACCCCUACACCGCCAACCCCUGUUGCAGCCCAACCUAAAAUCGGUUUGGUUGCACCACCUGUAACCCUUCCCCAUUCUCUUG
This 237-nucleotide long non-coding RNA is filed under the name Phoenix dactylifera (date palm). RNAcentral's name for it is "long non-coding RNA (PDAC_LNC020949)". Lineage: Eukaryota; Viridiplantae; Streptophyta; Magnoliopsida; Arecales; Arecaceae. The record is from RNAcentral.